UUCCACCAACCUCCGGCCGACCACCGCCGCCACUGCCGCCGGCGGCCACCACCACUUGGCCGGAAAAAUCUUUAAAUUUUUACCACUUCUUCCUUUCAUCCUCCUCUACACAAAUCCGCAAACCAUUCAUUCAUAUUCAUAGCCAAACUCCGUAGAUCUAAGAAAAACCAAACAUAAAUUUUCACUUUUUUUUAGAUUUACGAAAAUUCGGCCGUUCCCGUCCUAUAUCCUUUACAUAAAAGUGUAGAGCUCUUCAAGGGCUAUCAUUUGAUGUAAAGUUUAUGUCCAAA
This 290-nucleotide long non-coding RNA is filed under the name Solanum tuberosum (potato). RNAcentral describes it as "long non-coding RNA (STUB_LNC005759)". The record is from RNAcentral. Lineage: Eukaryota; Viridiplantae; Streptophyta; Magnoliopsida; Solanales; Solanaceae.